AUGCCUUAUUACACCGGACAUGCAUCAUACUUGUUUGUGCAUCAUGCCAUGCUUAUGCUUGUUGGUUUACCAUGUUGUUUGCUUCUUUCCGGUUUGCUUCUCUCGGUAGCUUCGAUUUUGUUCUGGAGUUGUGAGGAUUCGUUCGACUACAUCCGUUUGUCUUCUUCUUGGACUUGUUCUUCUUCCUUGUGGGAUCUCAGGCAAGAUGACCGUUACCCUGGAUCUCACUACUAUAAUUGCUAUGCUAGUUGCUUCGUUCUAUCGCUAUGCUGCGCUACCUAUCACUUGUUUAUCAAACCUCCCAAAUUGUCAUGUCAGCCUCUAACCUUUUCACCCUUCCUAGCAAACCUUUGUUUGGCCAUGUUACCGCUUUGCUCAGCCCCUCUUAUAGCAUUGUUAGUUGCAGGUGAAGUUGAAGAUUGCUCCAUGUUGGAACAUGUGUAUGUUGGGAUAUCACAAUAUCUCUUAUUUUAA
Molecule: ribosomal RNA, 474 nt
Filed under: Triticum aestivum (bread wheat)
Lineage: Eukaryota; Viridiplantae; Streptophyta; Magnoliopsida; Poales; Poaceae
Description: partial small subunit ribosomal RNA
Source: RNAcentral